This 510-nucleotide long non-coding RNA is filed under the name Pongo abelii (Sumatran orangutan). RNAcentral describes it as "lincRNA". Lineage: Eukaryota; Metazoa; Chordata; Mammalia; Primates; Hominidae. The record is from RNAcentral.
UUUGAUUUAUGCCUACUCACAUAUACUUGGUGCAUGCACGUUCCUUAGAGUAGGGGAGAUAGGAAGACACACGUGUAAAUUUCCACCUCAGUUUGGAAACAGAUACUGCAAUCUCAGAAAAUCUUGCCAUAAGAAGAGCCCAGCCAAUAGUUUGACUGCGAUUUCAUGGGAGACCUCAAGGCAGAGUAAUCCAGAAUACCACAGUCUUGAGGCUAUGAAGUCCAUGAUUAAGAAGACAGCACGUUUGCUUUCUGGUUCCAAGAUGGCACACCUUGUUGCUGCUUCCUCCAGAGAGGAGGAACACUGUGUCCUCACAUGGUAGAAGGUGGAAGGAGCAGAUGCAGAUGAGCAUGGCAAUGUGAGAAUAUGUCAGAGGCCCCAAGAUGAAAUGAGCUCAAGUCCCUGAAAUCCCUGUUAGAAGAGUCUGUCCACUGGUUGAGAAUGCUAAUUGUAUUUUGACAAAUCAACGUUGCAGCAACUCAGAAUGUUACAGCUUCUGCAUUGGAAUAA